Molecule: unclassified non-coding RNA, 109 nt
Organism: Rhinopithecus bieti (black snub-nosed monkey)
Lineage: Eukaryota; Metazoa; Chordata; Mammalia; Primates; Cercopithecidae
Rfam family: Y RNA
About the family: Y RNAs are components of the Ro ribonucleoprotein particle (Ro RNP), in association with Ro60 and La proteins. The Y RNAs and Ro60 and La proteins are well conserved, but the function of the Ro RNP is not known. In humans the RNA component can be one of four small RNAs -- hY1, hY3, hY4 and hY5.
Source: Ensembl
GGCUGGUCCAAAGGUAGUGAGUUAUCUCAAUUGGCUGUUCACAAUUAUAGAUCAAACUCCUUGUUCUACUCUUUCCUCCCAUCUCACUACUGCAUGUGACUAAUCUUAA